CAGGAUGAACGCUAGCGGCGCGCUUAUGCAUGUAAGUCGAGCGAUGAGGCCCUCUUCGGGGGGUCAUCAGCGGCAGACGGGUGAGUAGCACGUAGGUGAUCUACCCCAGAGACGGGGAUAACGGACGGAAACGUCCGCUAAUACCGGAUGACCUUGUCAGGUCAAAGCGACAAGGAAAGGCUCCGGCGCUCUGGGAGGAGCCUGCGGCCCAUCAGUUAGUUGGCGGGGUAAAGGCCCACCAAUGCGAAGACGGGUAGGGGGUGUGAGAGCAUGGCCCCCCACAAUGGGACUGAAACACGGCCCAUACUCCUACGGGAGGCAGCAGCAGGGAAUAUUGCACAAUGGACGGAAGUCUGAUGCAGCGACGCCGCGUGGAUGAUGAAGGCCCUCGGGUUGUAAAAUCCUUUACAAGGGGACGAGGAAGGACGGUACCCUUGGAACAAGUGUCGGCUAACUACGUGCCAGCAGCUGCGGUAAGACGUAGGACACAAGCGUUAUCCGGAUUUACUGGGCGUAAAGCGUCUGCAGGCGGACAGGUAAGUUGGGCGUGAAAGCUCCGGGCUCAACCCGGAGAGGUCGUUCAAUACUGCGUGUCUAGAGGGUGUCAGAGGGGAGUGGAAUUUCCGGAGUAGCGGUAAAAUGCGCAGAGAUCGGAAAGAACACCAAUGGCGAAGGCAGCUCCCUGGGGCAUACCUGACGCUAAGAGACGAAAGCUUGGGGAGCGAACCAGGAUUAGAGACCCUGGUAGUCCUAGCCCUAAACGAUGGAUGCUGGAUGUGGGGCCAUAGCGCUCCGUGUCGAAGCGAACGCGUUAAGCAUCCCGCCUGGGGACUACGGCCGCAAGGUUAAAACUCAAACGAAUUGACGGGACCCCGCACAAGCAGCGGAGCGUGUGGUUUAAUUCGAUGCUACACGAAGAACCUUACCUGGGUUUGACAUCUAGGUGGUAGCGAAGUGAAAGCGGAGCGACCCUUCGGGGAGCCCUAGACAGGUGCUGCAUGGCUGUCGUCAGCUCG
RNAcentral lists this ribosomal RNA (1016 nucleotides) under uncultured organism. RNAcentral describes it as "bacterial SSU rRNA". It matches the Rfam family "Bacterial small subunit ribosomal RNA", at positions 25 to 1062 of the family's 1533-position model. The record is from RNAcentral.